Molecule: long non-coding RNA, 487 nt
Filed under: Bos taurus (domestic cattle)
Lineage: Eukaryota; Metazoa; Chordata; Mammalia; Artiodactyla; Bovidae
Description: long non-coding RNA NONBTAT021990
Source: RNAcentral
AAAUUGCCACCUUGAUGCAUCACCAUUUGAUUGGUAGGGAUAGUAGUUAUAAAACUUGGUUGUUAAUUGAGAUGUUCUUCUUUAAGUGUCAAAAUAAUAACAUAGGGAAAGACUUGUAGGUGAUGGGGGUGUAUGCAUUAAGAAUUUUGUUAGUGUUGCUGUCUAAAGAGAAUUGGAAUAAACAGGUUAUGAAGACUCAUAUUUUUAAUGAUAAACUGGUGUAUGGCUUUAUGUAAAAUUGAAAACAUGAUCUACUCUUUAAGCAAAUUUGAAAACAGCUUGUCUGUAAUGCAUAAUUGUAUAUUUCAGAUAUGAUAAAAUGAAAUAUAACUAUUGUAGACAGAGUGAGCUGAACUGUAGGUAGAAUAAUCAUUAGUUGAGAGGAAAUUUUGUCUCUAGAUGGUGAUUAUGAAUUAAUCAUUUAAAACUGAUAAGUUUGACAAGAAUCCUAUGUAAAAUGUGAAAUUAAUAAUACUGAUUUUAUUGA